GCCCCGCCGCCGCGGGAGCCCCCGGAGCCCCCGGAGCAGCGGGAGGCUGGGGCCCGCGGGGCUCCGUCCCCUCCCCGGCUCGAGCGUCUGCAGAGCAGGCUCGCACCGGUGCUGAAAGCCCUGGGGACCCAAAGACAAGGGAACACCGAGAGGACACAGAUAGUAGAACGUGUGCCUUGGAAAAAGCGCCAGCAAGCUCUCAUUUUGGAAAAUUCUGAACUAGGCUAUGGUGACUUAGAACUUCUCCUCGUACAGCAAUUAUUCGUUUAUUGUAAGUACUUUUUUAAUACCUGUCUUCCCCUGUGGACAGUAGCUCCCUUUGGGGGAGAGACGUGUGGUUCACCACAGUGUUGCCAGCACCUGACACGUUCUUA
RNAcentral lists this long non-coding RNA (374 nucleotides) under Vulpes vulpes (red fox). Its description in RNAcentral is "lncRNA (ENSVVUG00000012874.1)". The record is from RNAcentral. Lineage: Eukaryota; Metazoa; Chordata; Mammalia; Carnivora; Canidae.